Molecule: ribosomal RNA, 537 nt
Filed under: Bifidobacterium pseudocatenulatum
Lineage: Bacteria; Bacillati; Actinomycetota; Actinomycetes; Bifidobacteriales; Bifidobacteriaceae
Description: bacterial SSU rRNA
Rfam family: Bacterial small subunit ribosomal RNA
Source: RNAcentral
UGGUAAUGCCGGAUGCUCCGACUCCUCGCAUGGGGUGUCGGGAAAGAUUUCAUCGGUAUGGGAUGGGGUCGCGUCCUAUCAGGUAGUCGGCGGGGUAACGGCCCACCGAGCCUACGACGGGUAGCCGGCCUGAGAGGGCGACCGGCCACAUUGGGACUGAGAUACGGCCCAGACUCCUACGGGAGGCAGCAGUGGGGAAUAUUGCACAAUGGGCGCAAGCCUGAUGCAGCGACGCCGCGUGCGGGAUGACGGCCUUCGGGUUGUAAACCGCUUUUGAUCGGGAGCAAGCCUUCGGGUGAGUGUACCUUUCGAAUAAGCACCGGCUAACUACGUGCCAGCAGCCGCGGUAAUACGUAGGGUGCAAGCGUUAUCCGGAAUUAUUGGGCGUAAAGGGCUCGUAGGCGGUUCGUCGCGUCCGGUGUGAAAGUCCAUCGCUUAACGGUGGAUCUGCGCCGGGUACGGGCGGGCUGGAGUGCGGUAGGGGAGACUGGAAUUCCCGGUGUAACGGUGGAAUGUGUAGAUAUCGGGAAGAACACC